GAACGCUAGCGGCAGGCCUAAUACAUGCAAGUCGAACGAUACUCUUUAGCUUGCUAGAGAGGAAAGUGGCGCACGGGUGCGUAACGCGUAUGCAACCUACCUUAAUCAGGGGGAUAGCCCGAAGAAAUUCGGAUUAACACCGCAUAAAAUCACAGUACAGCAUUGUACAAUGAUCAAAUAUUUAUAGGAUUAAGAUGGGCAUGCGUGACAUUAGUUAGUUGGCGGGGUAACGGCCCACCAAGACCACGAUGUCUAGGGGAUCUGAGAGGAUGACCCCCCACACUGGUACUGAGACACGGACCAGACUCCUACGGGAGGCAGCAGUAAGGAAUAUUGGUCAAUGGAGGCAACUCUGAACCAGCCAUGCCGCGUGCAGGAAGACAGC
Molecule: ribosomal RNA, 385 nt
Filed under: uncultured bacterium
Lineage: Bacteria
Description: bacterial SSU rRNA
Rfam family: Bacterial small subunit ribosomal RNA
Source: RNAcentral